GGGAUGUCUCCAGAGGUUGGCUCUGGGGUUUGGGUGUAAUCUCAUGGGUGGCAUGUCUAACCUGCCCAAUUUCUGCUGCCAGCCAAAGCGCAAAGGGAGAUUCCAGCUGAAGAACCAGGGGUGCCAAAGCCCAGCCCUGCUCCUUCCAGGGAAGAGGAGGCUUCUGGAGGGGGAAGCACUCGGGAACGCACUGUUCCCAUUGACAGAACAUCCCCAGAUGCAGGGGCAGGAGGCUGGUACAGGAGAGAAGGAGAUGUGGUCUGGGACGUGCACAGUGAAGUUUACAUCGAGACCACAGAAAGAACUCGAGUGUAUAAGACUGAGGAGAAGACUCCAACAAGUCCUCCUUACAUGCAAGUGACAAUAGAGGAUGUGCAGGUGAACUCUGGGGAACGUGCCAAAUUCCAGGCAGUCAUUGAAGGAACCCCUCAGCCCACAGUUUUGUGGUUCAAGGUGAGUGCAGACUCUUUCCUGGCUGAGAGUCAGGACUGUAGUGCACAAUUCCACAGGGAAUUUAAU
This 519-nucleotide long non-coding RNA is filed under the name Zonotrichia albicollis (white-throated sparrow). RNAcentral's name for it is "lncRNA (ENSZALG00000013767.1)". The record is from RNAcentral. Lineage: Eukaryota; Metazoa; Chordata; Aves; Passeriformes; Passerellidae.